Long non-coding RNA from Gossypium arboreum, 402 nucleotides. RefSeq lists it as uncharacterized. The record is from RefSeq and is a predicted model, not a curated record. The transcript has 3 exons. NCBI's taxonomy places the organism in Eukaryota, Viridiplantae, Streptophyta, Magnoliopsida, Malvales, Malvaceae.
AGACAUUUCUUCAUCUUUCUCAGCCAGAAACGCCGUAGCAGGUCUCCUAUGCUGGUUUUUCAUAUUUUUGCACCAUUUUUGACAAGCCAGCUCGGAAAUCGGGAACAGUCGGAGGCCCACUCACACUAUCCGUAUACCAUCUUGGCAUAAUGGCUUGUAUAUUUUGAGUCUAGGUACGAAAGAAAGUUAAGGACUCAACAUCCAAGCCAAUCCCGGACUCAAAGUGGUGAAUACUUUUCUUUUGGUAGUAUGGCAUGCACCUAGGUUGUUAAGGUGUUAUUUUGUAUAUGAUAGUGUAUAAACAUGAAAGUUGUUGAAGUAUGGUAUGAAAUAUGCAUAUUUUGAAAGUUAAACUUAUAUGAGUUUGACUAGUAUAAUAAUGUUGUAUAAUUUUGAUAUGAA